CACCGUGCCCGGCCAAGGGUCUGCAUUUCUAACCAGCUCCCAGGUGAUGCUGAUACAGCCAGUCCAUGGCCCACACUAUGUACAAGGAGCCAGGUUCUGAACCAUACGUACUGUGUCUCUCUCACGUGUGCUGGACAUGGCAAGUAUGUAUUCCUCAUGACAUUUAAUGUGCUCAUGUUCUUCAGUGGUUUACCUUUUGCUAAUAAAUCUCAGUGGUUUCCUGAUUAUUCCAUAAUCAUGAUGGCAUUCACUUUAUUGAGUGGGAGAUGAAGUGAUGCAGGAAUGAGCCAAUCCUAAUACAUGUUAGAAGUGUAUUAAUCCUAAAUAAAGCCUAAAAUCAUCUAUUUUCUUCAGUAAUUGUUUCCAUGGUGGGAGGUUAGGGGGAGCUUUUGAGGUGAUUUAAAGUCAUUUUCAAAGCAGAUGAAGACGGCAACCUGAGCUUUCUGUCAGGACAUGUGUGUAGACUGGAGACCUAUCACAUCCAACGGGACCCUCAGGCCAAUCCUUUUAAGCAGGGGGCUCCACCCAGCCCCUUAGCUUCCCUACUCCCCUAAGCCCCUUGGUUGUAGACAGUAGCUUCGGGUGCCAGGUGGGAGGCCAUGCCAAACAACUAUAGCCAAAGAGCAUGUCUCUGAUGCCAUUUCUUUGGUGGCCUAGGACAGAAUCUGAGCUAUUUCCACUAGAGGAAUAGGAGCUUCAGCAGGGGGCCUUGGAAAUGUAUCCAAGGUACCCACCUCCUGUCCUUCUUUCUGGAAGCAUCUGGCCCUGGGAAGUAGCAUCCCGACCACUAAUAUCAGGGCACUAAUAUCAGGCAAAGGGAGGAAAAGUUGCAUCCUGACCACUAAUAUCAGAAAGGCCCCUCCUCCCAGCCCGUGAAGAGGGGCCUCUCUGGGUGUGUACCUGGAACCCUAUCUUGGAAGUUAAGUUUUGUGGUCACUGCUACCAACACACCAACUCCCAGGACACAGGAUACUAGGGACUUCUGUGCCCCAUCAGUGGACAAGUCACAAGUUCCCAAAGCAGGGUGACCAAUCGAUCUGGAUCAGGUGGCAGGGCCUCGGAUCUUAACUGUCCAUUUCAUUGUUAUGCACACAAACUUAUCUUAGAGAUCCGGCCAUCUGCCUGUUCCCGUCCUGGGGAUACCUGCGGGAAGGCAGGCUGUGCCUCCCAGAGGUCAUCUGGGCUGCAAAUGGGUGCCAAGACCUUCCUCUGCCCCUACUCAGGACUCCAGACUCCUCCACAUCCCCUGGAGAUACUCAAAGCCCAUGCCCACAGUAACCCGUAGGGAAACUGACCCGCUCUGCCUGGGAGCUGCUCCCAGGAGCCUCAGCAGUGGCAACCAGGAGCUUAGAGACCGCUGUGCCUCUCCCUGCCCACCCUCUCCCUCUCAUCCUGCCCCAUUUCUCUGUUGUCUUUCCUCUUUCCUCUCUUCAUUGUUCACAGCACUAUUUAAUCUCCUUCCCCUCUUUCUUCCCUUAUUCUUGUUCUGACUCUAUUCCCAGGUCCAGAGAGGCCCAGAAUCUUCUCUGCUCCUGCUCCACCUCCUGACCCACUGCCCCCUGGGAGCCCCUGGUCAUCCCAGAAGCCUGUUGUAUUUUAUAACUGAAUAUGGCAUGUGUGAAAAUAUCAGCUACCAGACUCUGUUAGUCCAGGCGUAUGAAUAUUCCAGAUCACAAGGGAGGUGUGACUCCCCUGUGAAUUGCAAUGCGGAAGGUUUAUAAAGUUAAUCAUUUAGAAAUCUGUCUUUAAAAUUUAAAUAUUUAGAUUGGGUCGCUAGGACACAAAAGGCAAUUCCUGUUUCUCACUCACUUAAUUUGAUUUUUUUUUCUUUUGGUCGCACAAGUUGUUUUUCAAAGCCUCAUUCCUCGAAUGUUCCCUAUAGGAGGAAUGUAAUUAAACUCCACUGGCCUCCCCCUGCUGGGACCAAACAGGGGCCAGAGCUGUAGGGAGCAUAAAACAGAUAUCCUGCAAAAGAAUCCUUAUUAUAAAGAUGAGAAGAGAAUCAACUUCCCUCUGGUUAUGAACAAGAAGCUUUAGAAAGCCACCCAGGCUAUUUUUGCAAUGGGCUUAGUCUCCAAGACAUUUUAAUUAGUAAUUUAAGACUGGAAGGAAGGGGAUAAACUCCUCACCUCCCUGGCUAUAGGCAAGAACUUCAACUGGAUGAGUAACUGGUUCAAGUGGCUGAAAAGGAGGGAGGUCCAGAGGGAGGGUGGUUCCUUAAAAUGAACCAACUUUUUCAUGAAAAUGGCAUAGCUAGAUAUCCCGGCCCCCAGUCAGUCACUGUUUUUGCAGUCCCACUUCUUAAGGCAGUUCUCACCCCUCACCAGAGGCAGGCACUGCCUCUCUCUGGGACACUCGGCUGGCACCAGAGCAAAGAAGCUUGUGCUGAGGGAUGGUUCCCCUCACACCGGGCCAACCUGGACUUCUCUCUGACCAAAGAGCAUAUGCCUCCCACCAAGCGAGAAGGUGGAAAGAUCCUGGCAGGGAACCCCGAGACCUGGGUGCUAGCAUCAUCCCCGCCAUGAGAGCACACGGGGCCCCUGAGCUGACACCUGCUGGCAAUGUGACGUGGAUCACUCACAUAAUCCCUUCCUUAGUUUUUCUGUCUGUAAAAUGGGGAUAGUAACAUUGUGUAGCUCAUAAGGUUGUCACCAAGAUUAAACGAGUUAAGAAUACACGUGCAAUGUUUGAACAGCGCCAGCAUUACGUACAUAUAGCUACUCUCAUUCGCCUUUCUGUGACUCAGUUUCCUUAUCUGUAAAAGAAAAAGGUUGGACUAGACCUCUUCUCCACUGUUAUUGAUGAUGAUGAUGAUAAAUGAAUGUUUCUGUGCCAGAUCCUAAACUAAACAAAAGUUAACUUGAUACUCACAAUGGCUGUAUGAAGUGGGAGUUAUCACCAUCCCCAUUUCAUCAGUGGGGAAAGAAAGGCUGGAUUAGUCAGGGAUCUCCAGAGGAACCGAACUAAUAGGACAGAGACAGAAAGACAUUCAUUUUCAGGAAUUGGCUCAUGUAAUUUAUGGAGUUUGGCAAGUGUGAAGUCUGCAGGGCAGGCUGGCAGUUUGGACAACCAGGCAGGAGUCAAUGCAACAGUCUAGACACAGAAUUCUUUCUUCGCCAGAAAACCUCAGUUUUUGCUCUUACGGCCUUCAACCGAUUGGAUGAGGCACGCCCAUAUUAUUGAGGAUAAUCUCCUCAAAGUCAGCUGAUUUUAAGUGUUAACCAUAUCUACCGAAGACCUUCCCAGCAACCCUGGGAUUCAUGUUUGAUUAAAUAACUGCACACAAUAGCCUAGCAAAGUUGACACAAAAGACUAACCAAGCUAAAUAACUUGAGAACAUAAGAUAAUACCCUAGGACAGGGCCUAGGUCGGAUUGGCACUCACGUUUCCCGACUCCUUAGUCUGUAUUCUUUUCAACCUUGUCUCUAAUAUUCCAUGAUUCCAUGGUUCUGAUGCCAUUCCUCAGCGCUCUGCUGUUCUUGCCUGACCAAGUGGAUCAAUGGUGGCUCUGGCAUUUCUAUAAAGGGGAUUUCAGGGCUGCCUGCUGGGGAGGGAGGCUUGAAGCUGUGUCUGCACUGCAUCUUCACAGCACUGAGAAAAUGCCAGUCAUUCAGGAGGACAGGGCAGCCCUGUCCUCGCCACAGUGCCCGCAUCUUCAUUGGUUCACCUUUGCAGGUAUCAUCUGUGACCUGUCAUCCAGGCUCUGAGCCCUGAGGAUAAUAAGUUUCCCUCGAAGGUCCUGGGUUUGUUGGAGCUUUUUCUCCCUCUUGCCAUGUCCUUUUCACGGUCCAUCCUCUGAGUUUGUGAAUUAUCUUUCUUCGUGGCCCAUGUGGCACAAGAUGAAGAGUGCAUGGGCAGCUUCUCCCCUGACAUCCCUACCUCCCUGACGCUUAACCCACAUAGGGAAGAACAUUCCUGAAACAGAGACGUCACCCAGGGUUGCUUUCUGCCACAGCAGGCACUCUGCUUCGUGCCUUUCUCACUUCCAUUUGUAAAUGAUCUUGUCUCCUUCCUUGUAGAAAGCUUUUCAGCCAUUCCAGGCUUUCUCUUUGGGUUCCAUCCCUCUGGGAUUUUCCACGAAUUGCAUUUCCUUGUAGUUCAUUUUCAUCAUUUUCCUUGUUAGGGAAAUGCACCUGAGACAUUGGCAUGCAGCCUGAUUGCCCCCGGCCUCCCCUCUGCUCAUUGCCAGAGCUACCUCUGCACAGAGGAGUCACUCUCCUCCCACUCCAGGGCCUCUGUCAGGGGCCAGGCUUGAUGCUGUCACCAGCCAGCUCUUCACUGCUGCCCAGUGCCAUAUUCAUAUCCAUUGAGACAAGUCCCUGGGAAAUGGUUGGGAGCCGGGGGACAGCCCUGCAUCCUGAGAUCCUAAGAUCAGGGAGGUUCUCCCUGCACUCCCAGCUGGAAGGAGACUGGAUCGGCCACCCUCACCAAAUUCCCAGAUUCUCUGACUGAAGCAAGCCAGUCCUUGGUUUGAAUGGGGAAUCAACUCAGGGUUAUAAAAUAGACGCCAGCCUUCUUGUAGGUAGAAUCUGACUUCAGACAGCAAAAGACUCUAAAACAGCUUAAAUUCCUGUAUAUGCCUUCUCCUGUGCAUGCCACCGGUCAGACCAAAGGCCACACGCCAAUCAAGGCCCAAGAUCAGCCAGGGGUGUUUCCAUGUCCUCAAGAACUUUUACAAACUGUAGCUGAUUGGGUUCCGCCCCUGGAGAUUCGAUUUAGUGGGUCUGGAGUGAGGCCUGGGCUUCUUAGAAGCCCCAGCGGAUUCUAAAAUGCAGCCAGGAGGAAGAACGUUGCCAGAAUCCCAUGAGGCACAGAUGCAAAUGUGCAUAGUGACAUUGGGUUGCAUUAUCAAUGGCAGGACUGACUUUAUAAACCUCCACAUCCUUACUGGAGCUGCUGUUUGCUUUUUAGAAAAGUCCCUCAUCAGAUUAUCAGGAAGUCGUGGGUUUUCCGUGAUCAUGCUGUGGUCAGAUCCAGCCCAACCAGAGAGCCAAAAACAAAACAAACAUACAAAACAAACAAACAAACAAACAAAACCCAAAUCCCUGGCAAGCCCCACGAAAUGACUGCUCUGAUAACAUUCAGCAGACAAGCCUGUUUGAAAUCAUCUCAGAAUCAUACCAGACCCAAACCCAAGAGGUCAUCUGGUCUAUGCAUCGACUCUAGGAGGGUGUAUUAGUCCGUUUUCACGCUGCUGAUAAAGACACACCCGAGACUGGGCAAUUUACAAAAGAAAGAGGUUUCAUGGACUUACAGUUCCACAUGGCUGGGGAGGCCUGACAAUCAUGGUGGAAGGCAAAGAGGAGCAAGUCACAUCUUACGUGGAUGGCGGCAGGCAAAGAGACAGCUUUUGCAGGGAAACUUCCUUUUUUAAAACCAUCAGAUCUCGUGAGACUUACUCACUAUCACGAGAACAGCACGGGAAAGACUCGCCCCCAUGAUUCAAUUACCGCCCACCAGUUUCCUCCCACAACACAAGGGAAUUGUGGGAGUUAAAAUUCAAGACGAGGUUUGGGUGAGGACACAGCCAAACCAUAUCAGAGGGUGAGGGGCUAUUUCUCCAUGUUACAGACAAGGCACGUGAAGCCUAGGGACGUUCCAUCACAGGCCCACACCUUGUCUCAGAAUUAAGAGGAAAUGCUUCUGGCUGCCAGGGGUGGGGUGGGGUAGGAUGCAGAGCCUCUCCCUCCACCACCACCUCCAUCCUUUUCCCUUUCUCUGAAAAUCUCAUUUGAUGAUUCCCCAGCCUGGCUGCAAAUUAAAGAUUUGUAGACCUGAAAGAUGCUACCGAUGGUUAUCAGCACCACCACCACCAUCGUAACAGUAAACAUUUAUGGAGCGCCAUAAUUAUUCAUAAUAAUUUUUAUGUGUUAAACAAAUCUGACCUAGCUCUAUAAAGAAAUAGGCCCUGUUAACCAAAAAUAUUGGAUAAAUUAAAAGUCUCCUAGAAGCAUCUGAUGAAAGGAUCUCAAGUUCCAUAACACACGGACCAUUCAGUGGUGUUGUUUCUGGGCUUGAUUCACUGUGGGUCACUUGAACGAUGUCGGGGGUAUUGUCCACCUCCCAGUGCUCAGUCUGUGGCUUGUGGCCAGCUGUUCCUCUGUGGGGUCUAUGUUGGCUGUGUUAAGGCCUGCUGCAGAAACAUCUCAUUUCUAGCAUGUUUUUCUCAAGCAGUGAUCCUGUGGGGUCAAGUCUUCAAUAUCAAAUAAUAUUGAUAAUAAUUAUGAUAGAAAUAAUAAGAGGCCAGGCACCGUGGCUCACAUUUGUAAUCCCAGCACUUUGGGAGGCAGAGUUCAGGUGGAUCAUUUGGGCCCAGGAGUUCGAGAUCAGCCUGGUCAACAUGGUGAAACCCAGUCUCUACUAAAAAUACAACAAUUAGCCGGGCAUGGUGGUGCACACCUGUAAUUCCAGCUACUCGGGAGGCUGAGGCAGGAGAAUUGCUUGAAACCAGAAGGCAGAGGUUGCAGUUCGCUGAGAUUGCACCACUGCACUCCAGCCUGGGUGACAGAGUGAGACUCUGUCUCAAAAAAAAAAAGAAA
This 6539-nucleotide long non-coding RNA is filed under the name Homo sapiens (human). RNAcentral describes it as "HSALNT0343743". The record is from RNAcentral. Lineage: Eukaryota; Metazoa; Chordata; Mammalia; Primates; Hominidae.